Molecule: ribosomal RNA, 481 nt
Filed under: Cryptosporidium sp. rat genotype III
Lineage: Eukaryota; Apicomplexa; Conoidasida; Eucoccidiorida; Cryptosporidiidae
Description: SSU rRNA
Rfam family: Eukaryotic small subunit ribosomal RNA
Source: RNAcentral
AUUAGGGUUCGAUUCCGGAGAGGGAGCCUGAGAAACGGCUACCACAUCUAAGGAAGGCAGCAGGCGCGCAAAUUACCCAAUCCUAAUACAGGGAGGUAGUGACAAGAAAUAACAAUACAGGACCUUUCGGUUUUGUAAUUGGAAUGAGUUAAGUAUAAACCCCUUUACAAGUAUCAAUUGGAGGGCAAGUCUGGUGCCAGCAGCCGCGGUAAUUCCAGCUCCAAUAGCGUAUAUUAAAGUUGUUGCAGUUAAAAAGCUCGUAGUUGGAUUUCUGUUAAUUACUUUAUAUAAUUUUACACUUUUGUGUAGUUAUAUAGUAUUAACAUAAUUCAUAUUACUAUUUUUUUAGUAUAUGAAAUUUUACUUUGAGAAAAUUAGAGUGCUUAAAGCAGGCUUUUGCCUUGAAUACUUCAGCAUGGAAUAAUAAUUAAAGAUUUUUAUCUUUCUUUUAUUGGUUCUAAGAUAAAAAUAAUGAUUAAUA